Molecule: ribosomal RNA, 440 nt
Filed under: uncultured bacterium
Lineage: Bacteria
Description: partial 16S ribosomal RNA
Rfam family: Bacterial small subunit ribosomal RNA
Source: RNAcentral
CCUACGGGAGGCAGCAGUGGGGAAUAUUGCACAAUGGGGGAAACCCUGAUGCAGCGACGCCGCGUGAGUGAAGAAGUAUUUCGGUAUGUAAAGCUCUAUCAGCAGGGAAGAAAAUGACGGUACCUGAUUAAGAAGCACCGGCUAACUACGUGCCAGCAGCCGCGGUAAUACGUAGGGGGCAAGCGUUAUCCGGAUUUACUGGGUGUAAAGGGAGCGUAGACGGCAGCACAAGUCUGGAGUGAAAUGCCGGGGCUUAACCCCGGAACUGCUUUGGAAACGGGGCAGCUGGAGUGCAGGUGAGGUAAGUGGAAUUCCUAGUGUAGCGGUGAAAUGCGUAGAUAUUAGGAGGAACACCAGUGGCGAAGGCGGCUUACUGGACUGUAACUGACGUUGAGGCUCGAAAGCGUGGGGAGCAAACAGGAUUAGAUACCCUGGUAGUC